UUUUAUGUGAGAAACUUGCAUGGAUAAAGUGAUGAUUAAGUAUAAAUCCCUGAACUGUAAUUGCUACUUUCAUAUAGCCAAUACACAGUAGAAUGAAGAGGCUUUAGCAGUUCUACAAGAAGUUCAGGAUAAGAACAACUUAGAGUUGAGUGACUUUAACAUACCAGCUUUAGCUAGAUUGAAGACUAACCUUCUUAAGGAAGGAUUGGAGGUUCCUUUCGAAGUGCCAGAGCAACAAGGUAGAUCCCAAGAAGAUAGCUCCAGUGACAGCUCUGAUGAUGAG
Long non-coding RNA from Limulus polyphemus (Atlantic horseshoe crab), 283 nucleotides. RefSeq lists it as uncharacterized. The record is from RefSeq and is a predicted model, not a curated record. Lineage: Eukaryota; Metazoa; Arthropoda; Merostomata; Xiphosura; Limulidae. The transcript has 2 exons.